Molecule: ribosomal RNA, 2927 nt
Filed under: Salmonella enterica subsp. enterica serovar Enteritidis str. EC20100130
Lineage: Bacteria; Pseudomonadati; Pseudomonadota; Gammaproteobacteria; Enterobacterales; Enterobacteriaceae
Also listed under: 2 other names
Description: bacterial LSU rRNA
Rfam family: Bacterial large subunit ribosomal RNA
Source: RNAcentral
GGGUUGUGAGGUUAAGCGACUAAGCGUACACGGUGGAUGCCCUGGCAGUCAGAGGCGAUGAAGGGCGUACUAAUCUGCGAUAAGCGCCGGUAAGGUGAUAUGAACCGUUAUAACCGGCGAUACCCGAAUGGGGAAACCCAGUGUGAUUCGUCACACUAUCAUUAACUGAAUCCAUAGGUUAAUGAGGCGAACCGGGGGAACUGAAACAUCUAAGUACCCCGAGGAAAAGAAAUCAACCGAGAUUCCCCCAGUAGCGGCGAGCGAACGGGGAGGAGCCCAGAGCCUGAAUCAGCAUGUGUGUUAGUGGAAGCGUCUGGAAAGGCGCGCGAUACAGGGUGACAGCCCCGUACACAAAAGCGCAUGUGCUGUGAGCUCGAUGAGUAGGGCGGGACACGUGGUAUCCUGUCUGAAUAUGGGGGGACCAUCCUCCAAGGCUAAAUACUCCUGACUGACCGAUAGUGAACCAGUACCGUGAGGGAAAGGCGAAAAGAACCCCGGCGAGGGGAGUGAAAAAGAACCUGAAACCGUGUACGUACAAGCAGUGGGAGCACAGGUUUACCUGUGUGACUGCGUACCUUUUGUAUAAUGGGUCAGCGACUUAUAUUCUGUAGCAAGGUUAACCGAAUAGGGGAGCCGGAGGGAAACCGAGUCUUAAUUGGGCGUUAAGUUGCAGGGUAUAGACCCGAAACCCGGUGAUCUAGCCAUGGGCAGGUUGAAGGUUGGGUAACACUAACUGGAGGACCGAACCGACUAAUGUUGAAAAAUUAGCGGAUGACCUGUGGCUGGGGGUGAAAGGCCAAUCAAACCGGGAGAUAGCUGGUUCUCCCCGAAAGCUAUUUAGGUAGCGCCUCGUGAAUUCAUCUCCGGGGGUAGAGCACUGUUUCGGCUAGGGGGCCAUCCCGGCUUACCAACCCGAUGCAAACUGCGAAUACCGGAGAAUGUUAUCACGGGAGACACACGGCGGGUGCUAACGUCCGUCGUGAAGAGGGAAACAACCCAGACCGCCAGCUAAGGUCCCAAAGUCAUGGUUAAGUGGGAAACGAUGUGGGAAGGCCCAGACAGCCAGGAUGUUGGCUUAGAAGCAGCCAUCAUUUAAAGAAAGCGUAAUAGCUCACUGGUCGAGUCGGCCUGCGCGGAAGAUGUAACGGGGCUAAACCAUGCACCGAAGCUGCGGCAGCGACACUGUGUGUUGUUGGGUAGGGGAGCGUUCUGUAAGCCUGUGAAGGUGUGUCGUGAGGCAUGCUGGAGGUAUCAGAAGUGCGAAUGCUGACAUAAGUAACGAUAAAGCGGGUGAAAAGCCCGCUCGCCGGAAGACCAAGGGUUCCUGUCCAACGUUAAUCGGGGCAGGGUGAGUCGACCCCUAAGGCGAGGCCGAAAGGCGUAGUCGAUGGGAAACGGGUUAAUAUUCCCGUACUUGGUGUUACUGCGAAGGGGGGACGGAGAAGGCUAUGUUGGCCGGGCGACGGUUGUCCCGGUUUAAGCGUGUAGGUGUGUGUUCCAGGUAAAUCCGGUUCACUUUAACACUGAGGCGUGACGACGAGGCACUACGGUGCUGAAGCAACAAAUGCCCUGCUUCCAGGAAAAGCCUCUAAGCAUCAGGUAACAUCAAAUCGUACCCCAAACCGACACAGGUGGUCAGGUAGAGAAUACCAAGGCGCUUGAGAGAACUCGGGUGAAGGAACUAGGCAAAAUGGUGCCGUAACUUCGGGAGAAGGCACGCUGACACGUAGGUGAAGUGAUUUACUCAUGGAGCUGAAGUCAGUCGAAGAUACCAGCUGGCUGCAACUGUUUAUUAAAAACACAGCACUGUGCAAACACGAAAGUGGACGUAUACGGUGUGACGCCUGCCCGGUGCCGGAAGGUUAAUUGAUGGGGUCAGCGCAAGCGAAGCUCCUGAUCGAAGCCCCGGUAAACGGCGGCCGUAACUAUAACGGUCCUAAGGUAGCGAAAUUCCUUGUCGGGUAAGUUCCGACCUGCACGAAUGGCGUAAUGAUGGCCAGGCUGUCUCCACCCGAGACUCAGUGAAAUUGAACUCGCUGUGAAGAUGCAGUGUACCCGCGGCAAGACGGAAAGACCCCGUGAACCUUUACUAUAGCUUGACACUGAACAUUGAGCCUUGAUGUGUAGGAUAGGUGGGAGGCUUUGAAGUGUGGACGCCAGUCUGCAUGGAGCCGACCUUGAAAUACCACCCUUUAAUGUUUGAUGUUCUAACGUGGACCCGUUACCCGGGUUGCGGACAGUGUCUGGUGGGUAGUUUGACUGGGGCGGUCUCCUCCUAAAGAGUAACGGAGGAGCACGAAGGUUGGCUAAUCCUGGUCGGACAUCAGGAGGUUAGUGCAAUGGCAUAAGCCAGCUUGACUGCGAGCGUGACGGCGCGAGCAGGUGCGAAAGCAGGUCAUAGUGAUCCGGUGGUUCUGAAUGGAAGGGCCAUCGCUCAACGGAUAAAAGGUACUCCGGGGAUAACAGGCUGAUACCGCCCAAGAGUUCAUAUCGACGGCGGUGUUUGGCACCUCGAUGUCGGCUCAUCACAUCUGGGGCUGAAGUAGGUCCCAAGGGUAUGGCUGUUCGCCAUUUAAAGUGGUACGCGAGCUGGGUUUAGAACGUCGUGAGACAGUUCGGUCCCUAUCUGCCGUGGGCGCUGGAGAACUGAGGGGGGCUGCUCCUAGUACGAGAGGACCGGAGUGGACGCAUCACUGGUGUUCGGGUUGUCAUGCCAAUGGCACUGCCCGGUAGCUAAAUGCGGAAGAGAUAAGUGCUGAAAGCAUCUAAGCACGAAACUUGCCCCGAGAUGAGUUCUCCCUGAGACUUAAAGUCUCCUGAAGGAACGUUGAAGACGACGACGUUGAUAGGCCGGGUGUGUAAGCGCAGCGAUGCGUUGAGCUAACCGGUACUAAUGAACCGUGAGGCUUAACCUUACAACGCCGAAG